RNAcentral lists this long non-coding RNA (1196 nucleotides) under Piliocolobus tephrosceles (Ugandan red Colobus). RNAcentral's name for it is "lncRNA (ENSPTEG00000011018.1)". The record is from RNAcentral. Lineage: Eukaryota; Metazoa; Chordata; Mammalia; Primates; Cercopithecidae.
ACCAAUACAGCUAGCCAAAAAUGGCAAUAUAGAAAAGUCCCGUGCAGAUUCUCCAAAUAAGUUACUGAUUAAAAAUCAAUGUGCAUAUGCUAACAUAUUCAUAAACAAUAAAAUGCAGAACGUUAAUAAUAGUAUUGUUAGUGUAGACAAAAACAAACCUAUGAUGCCAUUGGUAAAUCCAAACAAUGCUAUAUUUGAUUAUGACGAAUUAAAAAGUUAUGUUAUACAUGAUAAUAUGGACAAUAACAGUGAUAGCAAUAAUAAUAGCAGCAAUAAUAAUAGCAACAAAAAUAGUGUAAAUAACACAGAGGGCAAUGUAUAUUAUAAUAACUUUUUUUUACCAUACAUAAAUAACACAAAUGUCGAAAUGAGUAAUCCCUUUUUGAAAAGCAACAAUAAUAAUAACAAUAACAGCAGUACUAGUAGUAGUAGUAGUAGUAGUGUUGAUAAACAAGGUAUUAUACCCAAUGUACCGCUUAAUUAUAAAAAAAUAAAUCCAAACAAGUAUACGAUGCACAACACAGUGCAUAACACAAUGUACAACACAAUGCACAACACAAUGCACAAUACAAUGCACAACACAAUGCACAACACAAUGCACAACACAAUGCACAACACAAUGCACAACACAAUGCACAACACAAUACACAACACAAUACACAACACAAUGCACAACACAAUGCACAACACAAUGCACAACACAAUACACAACACAAUACACAACACAAUGCACAACACAAUGCACAACACAAUGCACAACACAAUGCACAACACCAUGCAAAACGUUAUGUAUCAAAGUUGGGAAAAUAUGAGUAAGUAUAACGAAAUGUGUGCCAAUAUAAACGUUAAUGAUAAUAAAUUUGUUAGUAUAAAUCAUAUAAAUGAUAAGGAACGAAAAAAACAAUUUGAAAAACAAGAACAAAGUAAUAUAGUGAGACAUAAAAAUAAUCACCAAAUGAAUAAAUUAUCUGAUUCUCAGUUAAACCUGUUGACAAACGAGAAUAUAGAUGAUAGAUCACAAUGGGUAAGUAAUUGCGAUUCAAAUGAAAAUAUAAAUAACACGUUAAAUAGCAAACAAUUUAACAUUUUUUUAAACAAUAAAAAAACAUAUAUCCAACGAAAUUCAAAUAACGCUUAUCAUUCGCUCGCUGUAAAUAAUAAAUCAAGUGUAAAUAAAAAUAACCCAAUACAAAAUA